This 1958-nucleotide ribosomal RNA is filed under the name Listeria monocytogenes. RNAcentral's name for it is "partial 23S ribosomal RNA". It matches the Rfam family "Bacterial large subunit ribosomal RNA", at positions 970 to 2925 of the family's 2925-position model. Lineage: Bacteria; Bacillati; Bacillota; Bacilli; Caryophanales; Listeriaceae. The record is from RNAcentral.
CUUAUACUCGGGAGUCAGACUGCGAGUGAUAAGAUCCGUAGUCGAAAGGGAAACAGCCCAGACCACCAGUUAAGGUCCCCAAAUAUAUGUUAAGUGGAAAAGGAUGUGGGGUUGCUUAGACAACCAGGAUGUUGGCUUAGAAGCAGCCACCAUUGAAAGAGUGCGUAAUAGCUCACUGGUCGAGUGACCCCGCGCCGAAAAUGUACCGGGGCUAAACAUAUUACCGAAACUGUGGAUGAACCUCUUUAGAGGUUCGUGGUAGGAGAGCGUUCUAAGGGCGGUGAAGUCAGACCGGAAGGACUGGUGGAGCGCUUAGAAGUGAGAAUGCCGGUAUGAGUAGCGAAAGAAGGGUGAGAAUCCCUUCCACCGAAUAUCUAAGGUUUCCUGAGGAAGGCUCGUCCGCUCAGGGUUAGUCGGGACCUAAGCCGAGGCCGAUAGGCGUAGGCGAUGGACAACAGGUAGAGAUUCCUGUACCAGUGCUAAUUGUUUAACCGAUGGGGUGACACAGAAGGAUAGGGAAUCGCACGAAUGGAAAUGUGCGUCCAAGCAGUGAGUGUGAGAAGUAGGCAAAUCCGCUUCUCGCGAAGCAUGAGCUGUGAUGGGGAAGGAAAUUAAGUACGGAAGUUCCUGAUUUCACGCUGUCAAGAAAAGCCUCUAGGAAGAGUAGUACUGCCCGUACCGCAAACCGACACAGGUAGAUGAGGAGAGAAUCCUAAGGUGAGCGAGAGAACUCUCGUUAAGGAACUCGGCAAAAUGACCCCGUAACUUCGGGAGAAGGGGUGCUCUAUUAGGGUGCAAGCCCGAGAGAGCCGCAGUGAAUAGGCCCAGGCGACUGUUUAGCAAAAACACAGGUCUCUGCAAAACCGUAAGGUGACGUAUAGGGGCUGACGCCUGCCCGGUGCUGGAAGGUUAAGAGGAGUGCUUAGCUUCGGCGAAGGUACGAAUUGAAGCCCCAGUAAACGGCGGCCGUAACUAUAACGGUCCUAAGGUAGCGAAAUUCCUUGUCGGGUAAGUUCCGACCCGCACGAAAGGCGCAACGAUCUGGGCACUGUCUCAACGAGAGACUCGGUGAAAUUAUAGUACCUGUGAAGAUGCAGGUUACCCGCGACAGGACGGAAAGACCCCGUGGAGCUUUACUGCAACCUGAUAUGGAAUGUUUGUACCGCUUGUACAGGAUAGGUAGGAGCCGAAGAGACGUGUGCGCUAGCAUACGAGGAGGCAAUGGUGGGAUACUACCCUGGCUGUAUGACCAUUCUAACCCGCCACGCUUAGCGCGUGGGGAGACAGUGUCAGGUGGGCAGUUUGACUGGGGCGGUCGCCUCCUAAAGAGUAACGGAGGCGCCCAAAGGUUCCCUCAGAAUGGAUGGAAAUCAUUCGCAGAGUGUAAAGGCACAAGGGAGCUUGACUGCGAGACUGACAAGUCGAGCAGGGACGAAAGUCGGGCUUAGUGAUCCGGUGGUUCCGCAUGGAAGGGCCAUCGCUCAACGGAUAAAAGCUACCCCGGGGAUAACAGGCUUAUCUCCCCCAAGAGUCCACAUCGACGGGGAGGUUUGGCACCUCGAUGUCGGCUCGUCGCAUCCUGGGGCUGUAGUCGGUCCCAAGGGUUGGGCUGUUCGCCCAUUAAAGCGGCACGCGAGCUGGGUUCAGAACGUCGUGAGACAGUUCGGUCCCUAUCCGUCGCGGGCGCAGGAAAUUUGAGAGGAGCUGUCCUUAGUACGAGAGGACCGGGAUGGACACACCGCUGGUGUACCAGUUGUUCCGCCAGGAGCAUCGCUGGGUAGCUAUGUGUGGCAGGGAUAAACGCUGAAAGCAUCUAAGCGUGAAGCCCCCCUCAAGAUGAGAUUUCCCAUUUCUUCGGAAAGUAAGAUCCCUGAAAGAUGAUCAGGUAGAUAGGUUUGGAGUGGAAGUGUAGCGAUACAUGGAGCGGACAAAUACUAAUCGAUCGAGGACUUAACCAA